GCUGGGGUAGCUCAGUGUCAGAGCAUGUGCUUAGAAUGCACGAGGCCCUAGGUUUAAUCCCCAGCA
RNAcentral lists this transfer RNA (66 nucleotides) under Heterocephalus glaber (naked mole-rat). It matches the Rfam family "tRNA". Rfam says of the family: Transfer RNA (tRNA) molecules are approximately 80 nucleotides in length. Their secondary structure includes four short double-helical elements and three loops (D, anti-codon, and T loops). Further hydrogen bonds mediate the characteristic L-shaped molecular structure. tRNAs have two regions of fundamental functional importance: the anti-codon, which is responsible for specific mRNA codon recognition, and the 3' end, to which the tRNAs corresponding amino acid is attached (by aminoacyl-tRNA synthetases). tRNAs cope with the degeneracy of the genetic code in two manners: having more than one tRNA (with a specific anti-codon) for a particular amino acid; and 'wobble' base-pairing, i.e. permitting non-standard base-pairing at the 3rd anti-codon position. Lineage: Eukaryota; Metazoa; Chordata; Mammalia; Rodentia; Bathyergidae. The record is from Rfam by way of RNAcentral.